GCUCUACCUGUGCUGCUAAUUAGUGGCAUGAGGAGCCAGCACUGUCCUCCCCAGUGGGAAGCAGCUAAUAAACUAAUUAGGAUAAUGGGUAACUGAGCAGAUAAAAGUCUUAAGCUAUUUGCUAACAGGUCAUGGAUGGAUGUGGAGCCUUUCCCCCAGUGAUGCACCCGCAUGACCCCAGUGGUCCCAGUCCUGCUGUUCCAGGGACAGGGAAGAGCCUGCAGAUGUCGUGUUUUCCAUGCCAGUGCCUCACCACCCUGGGCAGGCAGCUGCUGCUCAGCAAGGGGACCUCUGCCAGCCUGAGCCUGGUGACAAGGGUGACCCUGCUGGAGGGCACUCACGUUUGCAGAUGAGCUGGGAAAGGAUGGUCCCAGCAGCACAGGGUGAGACUGGUGACAGAGCCCCUGGUGCCACCAAAAGAAAGGGCUGCAGGAGUGAGAUUUUACCAGGUAAGGCAGCUAUGGGCUGUGUAGCCUGCAGAGCAGACAGCCUGACUGUGGGUGUAGCUUCUGUCUUGGAAGAGCUUGGUCAGCUACGGAAAAUGCCCAAAGGUUAAAAAAUGGGGAAUUUCCACAGCUCCACCCAGGAGUGCUGAAACAAAUGAAGUGAUAACGAAAGCAUAACGGGCUUAUUUCCAGAUCCAGAGCACAGUAUGCCAUCAGGAGCUGCUCCUCCAUGGGAAAUGACCAAAGGAUGCCAGCUCCAGGCUGCUCCUGUGCUGGGCACCCAGACCCUGCUGCUUCCCCUGCCUGUGGGGGAGCCUGGCACUCCCACAGCUCCAGCCCACCCAGAUCCAGGACAGGGAGAGGGAAGUUGCUUUCUGCAUCCCAGGGGGAGGAUUUGAGGCUGAGUGGAUGUGACCUUGGGCUCUGGCAGGGAGCUGCCAUGAGUGCUGCACCCCCACUCGGCCCUUGCCCUUCCCUCCAUUCCACAGAAGCUGUUUUCAGAGCUGCUGCUCUCCCAAAGUGCUUCACAUCUCUCUGAUCUGGCUGGAGGAGGAGCUGAAGAGAAGGGCAGAGCAUCCACCUCCCUGGCCCAGGCUCUGGCAGGAGCCACCUCUCUCUGUGUCCCCUGUGCAGUGAGCUGGGAGCAGCUGUGCAUCCCCUCCCUGAGCAGCCACAGACUGCACAGGGUGAGCAGGGAGGUAGCCCUGUCUCCUCAAGUACCAGGUGAAAUCCCAAUUGAAAACUGCAGCUGGGCAGCUCCAGCUGCCUCUGCUCUCCUCCAGAAUGCCCAUGCCUGGAUUCCCUCACUGUGUGCCAGGGUUCUUUCCAGCUUUUCUUAGGAUGGGUGGGAGAGGAGCUGUGUCCCCCCUGGCAUGGGACAGGUUGGACCGUCUGUUCUGCUGCUGGUGGGGCAGAAGCUUGGCUCUUCUUAGCCAAGCACACAGGGUAAUUUAGUUAUUUACUAGAUUAUAAAUUUAGUAAAUAACUAAACACCACCACUUUAGUUCUGACAGUAACAGCCCUUUCCUACAGGGGUGAGGAACUGCUGGGGGCCCAUCCCAGCAAAACCCAGUGUCUGACACCUCUGGAGCCUGGUCCAGACCCCUCUGUCAGCAGGUCUGACCCAGCAAGCACAUUGUGCAAGUAAAAAUCUGAUUUUAAACCUUUCUGCCCUCAUCCUCACAGGGCUUUUUUAUCUGAGGGUGGGAGGAGGAAAGCUUCAUUACUGCUGCUGGGGUCACUUAUUAACCUGCUGGUUCCUAAUGAUGCACUUAUCUCCUCCUGCCAGCCCUGGCCUCCAUCAGGCACCGCUGCAGGGGCUCUCCUGCCCUACAUUGCUCUCUCUUCAUUAGCUUUUCAUUUUCCUUAAUUGCUCCUGCAGAUUUGCCUGGGGUGUCAGGCCUGGGGGAUGCCCAGAGGGAGAUGGGGAUGCAGGGGGAGCAGGCACAAAGCUGAGGAUGCCACGCUGCUGGUUCACUGAUGGGAAGAGCAGGAAGCACAGAUGCUCUUGCCUGCUGCUCCCCAGCCAUGGGCAGGGUUUGUUAUUAACCCUUAAACCGGCUGGGGUAAAUAUUUGAGGUGACAGAUACAAAAGUGAUGCAAGAGAGUGCUGAGUCCUGCCUCAGCCUCAUAGCUAAAAUGUGACCACCCUCCCACCCAAACCAGGUGUGGAAGGGCUUCUGGGGGCGCAUCCCACCCCCUGUCCCUGCCCCACAGCCAGCUCUGACCUGCGGUGGUGGUGUCCACAUCCCUGGCCGCCAU
Molecule: long non-coding RNA, 2207 nt
Organism: Passer domesticus (house sparrow)
Lineage: Eukaryota; Metazoa; Chordata; Aves; Passeriformes; Passeridae
Exons: 3
Source: RefSeq, a predicted model, not a curated record